RNAcentral lists this ribosomal RNA (468 nucleotides) under uncultured bacterium. Its description in RNAcentral is "partial 16S ribosomal RNA". It matches the Rfam family "Bacterial small subunit ribosomal RNA", at positions 28 to 507 of the family's 1533-position model. The record is from RNAcentral.
GACGAACGCUGGCGGCGUGCUUAACACAUGCAAGUCGAACGGAAAGGCCCUGCUUUUGUGGGGUGCUCGAGUGGCGAACGGGUGAGUAACACGUGAGUAACCUGCCCUUGACUUUGGGAUAACUUCAGGAAACUGGGGCUAAUACCGGAUAGGAGCUCCUGCUGCAUGGUGGGGGUUGGAAAGUUUCGGCGGUUGGGGAUGGACUUGCGGCUUAUCAGCUUGUUGGUGGGGUAGUGGCUUACCAAGGCUUUGACGGGUAGCCGGCCUGAGAGGGUGACCGGCCACAUUGGGACUGAGAUACGGCCCAGACUCCUACGGGAGGCAGCAGUGGGGAAUAUUGCACAAUGGGCGGAAGCCUGAUGCAGCAACGCCGCGUGCGGGAUGACGGCCUUCGGGUUGUAAACCGCUUUCGCCUGUGACGAAGCGUGAGUGACGGUAAUGGGUAAAGAAGCACCGGCUAACUACGUG